UUUGUCCUACGGGGCGCAGCAGUGGGGAAUAUUGCACAAUGGGCGCAAGCCUGAUGCAGCGACGCCGCGUGCGGGAUGGAGGCCUUCGGGUUGUAAACCGCUUUUGUUCAAGGGCAAGGCACGGUCUUUGGCCGUGUUGAGGGGAUUGUUCGAAUAGGCACCGGCUAACUACGUGCCAGCAGCCGCGGUAGUACGUAGGGUGCAAGCGUUAUCCGGAUUUAUUGGGCGUAAAGGGCUCGUAGCCGGUUCGUCGCGUCCGGUGUGAAAGUCCAUCGUUUAACGGUGUAGCUGCGCCGGG
Molecule: ribosomal RNA, 298 nt
Filed under: uncultured bacterium
Lineage: Bacteria
Description: partial 16S ribosomal RNA
Rfam family: Bacterial small subunit ribosomal RNA
Source: RNAcentral